RNAcentral lists this transfer RNA (75 nucleotides) under Candidatus Hepatincola sp. Av. RNAcentral's name for it is "tRNA-Thr". It matches the Rfam family "tRNA". Rfam says of the family: Transfer RNA (tRNA) molecules are approximately 80 nucleotides in length. Their secondary structure includes four short double-helical elements and three loops (D, anti-codon, and T loops). Further hydrogen bonds mediate the characteristic L-shaped molecular structure. tRNAs have two regions of fundamental functional importance: the anti-codon, which is responsible for specific mRNA codon recognition, and the 3' end, to which the tRNAs corresponding amino acid is attached (by aminoacyl-tRNA synthetases). tRNAs cope with the degeneracy of the genetic code in two manners: having more than one tRNA (with a specific anti-codon) for a particular amino acid; and 'wobble' base-pairing, i.e. permitting non-standard base-pairing at the 3rd anti-codon position. RNAcentral also lists the same sequence under 2 other names. Lineage: Bacteria; Pseudomonadati; Pseudomonadota; Alphaproteobacteria; Rhodospirillales; Candidatus Hepatincolaceae. The record is from RNAcentral.
GCCAUCGUAGCUCAGGGGCAGAGCACACCCUUGGUAAGGGUGGGGUCGCAUGUUCGAUUCAUGCCGGUGGCACCA